This 803-nucleotide long non-coding RNA is filed under the name Arabidopsis lyrata. RNAcentral's name for it is "long non-coding RNA (ALYR_LNC003061)". Lineage: Eukaryota; Viridiplantae; Streptophyta; Magnoliopsida; Brassicales; Brassicaceae. The record is from RNAcentral.
UUAAAACUACUUAUACCAUUUUUAAAAAAGUUCAAUAAGUAGUUGAAACGGAUAACGGAUUGAAGACGGAUAAUAGUAUCCGGCCAAACCCUAAUUGGUCUUAUCAAGUUGAAGACGGAUAACAAUGUGGGCUACUGUGCAAAGGGAAAAAAGCAGCAAAAGAAGAAGAAAAGAAAGUGUCAAUCUGAUUCGGAUUCAAUCACUCAAUCCUCGUUGGUUUCCUAAACAACGUGAAAACAAAACACAGCUUAGAUGUCAACGUUAUUUACAUUCGAACCAUUAAGGGCCAAAUGGGGAUAUUAUCGUAAAUCAACACAUGGUUACUACUUUAGUGACAAUCCUAAUGAUGCUUUGUCCCUUGGAGGUCUUGAGAGGCCACCCCUGACCUGCGUGGUGCCCUUUUAAUAUCAAUACAUUAUCGCCACCCUGACCUGCGUAGUGCCCUUUUAAUAUCAAUACAUUACCGAUAAUGUGUGCUUACAUGUUUUAUAUUAUCGUUGUUUGGUCAAAUUUUUAAUAUAAUAAUGACUUCUUUUUUUAACUAUUAUAAAUUUUACUAUAUCUAAUCUGUACAUGCAUGUUGCAUUUCCAAUGAUGUUUGUUCCAUUUUUAUGUCUUUUUCUAAGACUUUUUAGUAAGAAAAGGAUAACUCUAAUGAUCUUUUUGUAAUUAAAGUAAGAAGAUUGAUUCAAUUAAUCUUAUCUAGCUAGAUGACUUUUAUAUGGAUAUAGUCUUGGAGAUCGUGUGUAGAAGUUUGGUUUUUUGACCAAUGCAUUACAAUUGUUUUAUUUUUUUGCCAACGG